RNAcentral lists this long non-coding RNA (234 nucleotides) under Setaria italica (foxtail millet). RNAcentral describes it as "long non-coding RNA (SITA_LNC006473)". The record is from RNAcentral. Lineage: Eukaryota; Viridiplantae; Streptophyta; Magnoliopsida; Poales; Poaceae.
UGCUUGUGGAAUGAGAGCGAGGUCGCACGGAUAACAAGAACAUGCCUGUGCAUGUGUGUUCAGGUCGCAGAAGGUGGCCUACCUUCAUUUGAUUUUAUCAAGCCUAACUUGUCUCCUUUUGUGCAUGUAUGGCCCAACAGAUCACGGGUUCCCCAUUCCUUUCUUGCCUACCUGGCUUGUAAUUGGGCAAAGGAUAAAUAACAGCUGCUGGUCUCUUCCUUUUUUUAAUUAGAU